AUUGAACGCUGGCGGCAUGCUUUACACAUGCAAGUCGAACGGCAGCGCGGGCUUCGGCCUGGCGGCGAGUGGCGAACGGGUGAGUAAUACAUCGGAACGUGCCCAGUAGUGGGGGAUAGCUCGGCGAAAGCCGGAUUAAUACCGCAUACGACCUGAGGGUGAAAGCGGGGGAUCUUCGGACCUCGCGCUAUUGGAGCGGCCGAUGGCAGAUUAGCUAGUUGGUGGGGUAAAGGCCUACCAAGGCGACGAUCUGUAGCUGGUCUGAGAGGACGACCAGCCACACUGGGACUGAGACACGGCCCAGACUCCUAAGGGAGGCAGCAGUGGGGAAUUUUGGACAAAGGGCGAAAGCCUGAUCCAGCAAUGCCGCGUGUGUGAUGAAGGCCUUCGGGUUGUAAAGCACUUUUGGCGGGAACGAAAAGGACUGUGCCAAUACCACGGUUCGAUGACGGUACCCGAAGAAUAAGCACCGGCUAACUACGUG
Molecule: ribosomal RNA, 484 nt
Filed under: uncultured bacterium
Lineage: Bacteria
Description: partial 16S ribosomal RNA
Rfam family: Bacterial small subunit ribosomal RNA
Source: RNAcentral